Molecule: ribosomal RNA, 253 nt
Filed under: uncultured bacterium
Lineage: Bacteria
Description: partial 16S ribosomal RNA
Rfam family: Bacterial small subunit ribosomal RNA
Source: RNAcentral
GACGUAGGGCGCGAGCGUUGUCCGGAUUUAUUGGGCGUAAAGAGCUCGUAGGCGGCUUGUCGCGUCGACUGUGAAAACCCACGGCUCAACUGUGGGCUUGCAGUCGAUACGGGCAGGCUAGAGUUCGGUAGGGGAGACUGGAAUUCCUGGUGUAGCGGUGAAAUGCGCAGAUAUCAGGAGGAACACCGGUGGCGAAGGCGGGUCUCUGGGCCAGCACUGACACUGAGGCACGAAAGCGUGGGGAGCAAACAGG